This is a long non-coding RNA of Lagopus muta (rock ptarmigan), 11907 nucleotides long. RefSeq lists it as uncharacterized. The transcript has 3 exons. The record is from RefSeq and is a predicted model, not a curated record. Lineage: Eukaryota; Metazoa; Chordata; Aves; Galliformes; Phasianidae.
UACACAAAGGCCAGCGUUAGCCUUGCAACCUAGCGACCCAAUGGCAUCAAAAAGCAGUGCUUUCUUGGCGUGUCAUCAUGCUGGGCUAGGAGCUUCAGCUGAAGGCAAGCUGAGCUGUGGGCAGACCUUUUGUUUCUGUAGGUCUAUGCACAGAGUCUCAUCCUGCCACUGGCACCCAAAAGGCUCUAGACCAAGCUCAACAUGUGCACUCACACCUAAAAACUAACACCAGCCUUCUUUUUCACUUCUUCAUCUGCACAUCGUUACCAAUGGGUUUUGCACUGUAUAACGUCUAUUGCUGAAAUGUUGUUCUUGAGCCACUAAAGCACAGGGCUGAUUAAAGAUAGGGCUUAUUUAAGAAAGAGGAAUGUUUUCACUUUUUCUUAUUGGUUUAAGAAUAGCAUAACCCUGAUGACACUGAGGAUCUAGAGGAAUUUAUUCACCAGAUUACUAUUUAAAAAACAAGUUAAAAUGUGAAUUCUUAAGGAAUUAACUGUGCCUCAUUAGCAGGCUGAUCUGGCUGCUGUACUUGCAGGACAUGGUGGAGCUGCUGACCAAGCUGACCACGAUCGAUGGGCACAACCAAAAGACUUGCCUUUGGAAAGAGAAAGACCUAAGAAGGAGACAGUGACAGCUUCCCAUCUGCUGACUAUGAUCCCGAGAGCCUGCUGAGUUCUCUGAGACUCAUGUUCUCCCUGAGAAAGGCUCAGAGAUGUCUCCAGGAGAUGGAGGGAGUUCAGCUACCAAAGCUUCCAGCCCUGCAGUGCACGGCCCCAGGCUGGGCACGUUAGUUAGUACAGGAGCUGCUGGGCAGCCAAACAAGCCGUGCACAUGGCCAGCAUCUGCUGCCUGCUCUGAAAGGUGGGAGACUAUCCUGCAUAGACAGUGUGUCCAGGAAUGCAAGAGCCCAGAUCAGAUUUCCAGGCACGACCAACCCUUGCUUUUUAGAGUGGGAAAUGCUGACUGCCAUCGGCAGGGUUUUCUUUCUGUUCUAAGGAGGAUGGAAGAGCACCUAAUGGAAAGCGUAUGGACUGGAGGAAUGCAAUAUACAUUACUAAUUCUUACUGCUUUCCUGGAUUAACUCUGAUUCUGGAUGACAGCUGACAACUAUGGCCGGACCCUGUUGCACCCUACACCACCUGUAGAAGCCAUUAGAUCAAAUAUGUCUGGGAUAGUAAUGAAAAGCAGGAGCAAACUUUUUCUAAGGGGGCUGGGAGCCUGGAGGGGAAAUCAAAGCUCCCACCUGCAGAAAUGAAAUGGAAAAAGCUCUGAACGUGCCACCAAGCAACUGCAUCCAGGAGCAGCUGUGCCUGGCGCCAUGAGCUGACCCCAGGACCCUGAGCAGCAUCUCGUCCCAGUGCUGUGUCCUCAAGCAGGGCCACGCUGGGGACACCCAUCCAGGGGAGCUUUGUGCAUCACCUUUUCUCUUGUCUCUUGGUUGCCUAGCCUUUGGGCUGGAGAGAGAACAUGGGAACAGAUGGCUGCCUGUGGCACAACAAGCUGGAAAUACAUCUCUCAGCUUACCAGGAGCCUGGCUAUGUGAGAAAAUGUGCACCAAAGCCACAAGUGGGUGAAGUGGGAUGGGCCGACAGCCAGAGCCAAGAAACCCCUCUGUCAGCUCCCCAGGCAGUAAGACUACCCUGCAUUUGCCUGCAGCGGCCAGCACAGUGGGUUACUAGUCAGUUCCUUGGCAUUGCACAACACAGAAUAAUAAUACCCCCAGAGAGCAGUGAUGUGAGCAAAGGAACCGUGCUCUGUGUGGGUGGCAGCGAAAGCAUGGGAACGAGCUCAGCCGCCUCUCACCCAGCCUCCUGCUUCCCUCAACUCCCCCCACGACAAAACUGGACCACGAUUAAGUAAGCCAAGGCUCUGAAAUACUGCGAUGCAGCUGUUCUGUUCAAGAGGUGCAGUGCCUGCCCUGUUCAAAGCAUCUUGUACAGAGGAGCAGGCUGAAAGCCGUGCCAGCCCCUGACACCUUGCCACCACGGCUGGGUCAUGCCCUGGCCAUUGCGGCCCAGCAGCACAGGGGCUGAUGCUCUGCACAUGAUGCUCAGAGGAGCAAUGAGCAAGUGUGACCUGGAUGCAGUCAGCGUAGCACAGUGUGUGGAAAGACCAGCUCACUGUCAAAUGGGCAGGCAUUUCAGAAAUGAUUCCACAUGGCUCCAGCCUCAGCUCGAUUCCAUUAAAUUGUUUCAUGAUCUGGAUGAUGAAUAGAGAGCAUACUUAUAAGGUUUCUGGAAGAUGGGAAGCUGGAGAGAUUUCAACCACCUUGGAGUAUUGGAGUACAGCUUCGAUAAAAGAGAGAAGCUGUCCAAGAUCAGGAUGCACUUCAGCAAAGGCAAGAGCGAAGUAUGGCGCUCAGGAGAAUUGAAAGGCACGAGUACAAAUGGGGCUAGGCAGAAGCAGCUUGAGGGCUGCAAAAGAACAAAGUGCAUAAGCCAGCAUCACAACAGGCCCAGAAAUAAUCAGCUCAGCUUCAAGAAAAACAGUCUUACCCUUACCAAGUUUUUAAUGCUAAUGUCUGGUGAUUCCUGCAUCAGAUCUUUUAAAACUAGGUGGUCUCGUGACCACACCACCAUCAGUUUUGUGGACAAGCCAAGAGAAUACAGUGCAGUUCCACCGAGCCCUGCUAUGUCUGCAUGGCAGGAGCUGAGCCCAAUGCUGCUUGUGCUCCCCACAGGCUGCAGGAUGGGAGGGGGCCUGGGAUGAUACAAACCAACCUUCUUUCUCAGGCAGGAGGAGGGAUAAAGCUGGCGGUCUUUCUGACAGUGUGCCAGCAGAUGAGCUUCCAAAUGAGAGAAGAGGCAGACACCUGUGCAGGAAGGCCCUGAGCUGGGCAUAAGCUGAAUAAGCUGCAGGAUGUCCUGCAGAAGCGUCUGGAUUUAUAAACAGAUUUACUGCUCCUCUCCAGCAUUCAGAACAUACAGCCUUUCACACCACACGACAACAGAAUAAAACUCCCAGACAGGCUUAAUCUCAGAAUUGUAGGAGGCCACCUAGUCCAAUCCUAAACUAAAGCAGAUUCCCUACAGCAGCUGACACAGGUAGGCAUAUCCUUAUGGCUCUUUAAUAUCUCCAGAGAAGGGCACUCCACACCCUCUAUGGGCAGCCUGCUCCAGGGCUCUGCACUCUGACAGUGAAGCAGUGUUUCCCUGCGUUAGUAAGAAACUAUCCUUUCCAGGCCAAAGCUAUGUGCUGCAGUUACUAUUUGUUACCAGAUUUAAAGGCUGCGUUUUGCACAGAUUACUUCAAAAUAACAGUGAGGUAGCUGAGCCAAGCACUGCUGUUCCCAGACUGCAUCUUCUCAGAGCUCGCUGGCUUGAGCCCUACCAAACUCCCAGCACGUGAGCCUGGCCUUGGGAACACAUGUCCAAUUCCCCAGCACUGCUCUCUGGGGAAGUCACUCUUACAAACAAGUGCAUUGUCAGAUAUGGACUACAUGUCCUCAGUACUUUUGGUAAGACACAAGGAGGGAAAUCAGUUGUCCCACCUGCAUUUUACCUACCUGUCUUGGUCAGAAAUACACAUAAGAGCAGAAGAUCACCUCUCCUUGUGUAGAUGAUAGUGCAGGAUCCACUGAAUUAGUUUAAUUGAUGUCAAAUGCCAGGGAAUCAUGUAUGCACAAGAUGACACAAAACCGCUGCCUCUUUUAAAAGCAUCUGUGCAGAACAAAACACCCCCUUUUAUUUUCCACUGUUCUUCUAACAAGCAAGGUCUGUUGUGACACAUCAGACUCCCAACAGAGUCUGUGUUGGCAUUAAUUUACACUUCCAGCUCUUCUGCAGCCCUGUUAUCACACCAGCAGGAACCUCAGCAGUUUUCAAAGAGCCAUCAGAGGCACACUUGCUUCAUGCUAGCUCACAAUGCUGAAGUUUGGUUUAAAGAUUUAGCACCAACCUACCAAAACAAUUUAUACUGCAGCCUGUCCUGGCCCAAAAAAUGGAUUUCGGGCAGCACAGUGUUCAGGAAACACAAACUUCACAGAAGAUGAGGACAUCAGCUGCUCUGCACAGCUCUGUCCCCAGACACAAGCUGGGGCUUCCCUGCCCUAUCUGUGCUGUGAUCCUCUCCAUCUCCACUGAGCAGCCCCGACUGGCCCAGCCGCCGCAUCUGGACAACGUUUCCGGCUGAAGGGUUGCUACACACUACCAAAUAAGUAGAUAAAUGAAGCAGUGUUGCUCUAACAGUUACAAAGACUAAAAAUACACUCACUGCAAGGAGGCAGCAGGGUUUCUAAAAUAUUCACAGAUUUACUUGUUACCUAGGGUUUCUGGAGGCAAGGGAGAAAGUAGUAAGGACACUCCAGUUAACUUAUUUUUAAAAGCAGGCUGCUGCUUGCAACUGUUUCUAAGCAAACCAGUUGCAACCUUGUGGACUCAGCUGCCUUCAGUCCCCGGCACAUGUCAGGGGAGAUCUGGAUGUUUCCGUUUUCCUCUCCACCAGCUUUUUACUCCCUGUCCCUCAGCAACUGGUGGGGGUGUAUGAGGGAUGCAGUGAGCACACACUCAUCUAUAGAGCUAUUACAGAGGGAGCCAGGUUGGAGGCACCAACACAGUGCCUGGUCUCCAUUUCUCAGGGCAGGUCCUGCACCAGGGCCACGCACACUGCAGACCACACAAGGACAUGCGGAUAAGCCACAGGCUGUCAGCAAGGAGACAGGGCCUUUUCCCAUGCCCAAAUUGUUGCAACACUGGUGUCAGGGUCUAUCGUAGGGGGAUAUACACAGCACAAGGAGAAAGUAAGAAAAUGGGAGGAAACAAGUGCUGUGGCCUCCUAAGUAAAUAACGGAGUCAUUGGCUGUGGCUGAGGAGAACAAUGUGCCCUCAGCCCAUACCAUGGAAAAGGCCAGGGCCUGCAGAUCAAGAGAUCAGUAGCCAACGGAGAGGGCCCAGUCUGGGUUGACUAAUUGCUCUUGCUGGUUUGAAGAAAAAGCCAACGGCCCUCUCUAGAGGAGCAGAUCAGCAGCACUGAUCCUUGCAGGCACAUAAUUUAAAGCUCCUGCAGGUAGAGUAUCUCUUGCAAACACCAAGGCAUUUGCACUGGCUGUGCACAUGCUUGCUGUCAGAGCUAUGGCCAUAUUUGAAAUCUAACCAGCUGAGGCAACGUUUACAUGAAGAAUUGAAAUGAAAAGGAGAAAACAAAGGCAAGGCACAGCUUUGCUACACAGAAAGUUCUCUUGGGAAUGAAAGAAAGGAAAGAGGCUGGAGAGAGAGCAACUCCGUUAGGCAGAACCACCCAUGGCUUCUUGGGAAGCACAGAACUUGUAAACAAACUCCCCACACGGUCUGCAAGACAAGACAUACCCACUUACAAGACAAAUAGCUGUGCACAGGAGACCAGCCUAAAAAGGCAUUCGUUCUACUGGAGGCUUACUUCAAGAGCCAGAGCUGGAGGAUUUCUUCCUCUGAGUGAGGCAGCACAGGACUAAGAGGAAUGGGCACCUUCCCUUCUGUGCCCAACGAGGAGCUAGCAGGAGCACUUGGGUACAACUUGCCACUGCAGCAGCUCUGCUCUCUUGGUCCAUCCAGGCGUGCUCAACUCUCAACAGUUUCAGCCAAUGCGUGCUGAAGUGAGACUUGACUUUUUACAGCUCCUGACCCCAUUUGUCACUUUUCUUUCUUCUGAUAUUUAUAUAUCCUCUGUGGUUAACACCAACACAAGAACACUUCAAGGUUUCCUUCAACAGCACUGACUUCAACUUUAAGUGCUCUUUUACACCUUGGUCCUCUACAAGCACCACAGAUUCCCUGGCAGGCUUCCUCUGAAAAAAAUGUUUUUAUUACUUUUCAUGCCUUAAACAAGUUGUUCCUCAGUAUCACUUUUGGCUUGACUUCUUAUGCUUUGAUAUUAAGUCUCCCAGAAAUGGUGCUCCAUUUCUAAUUCCCUCAUUUGGCUAUUUCUAAUUCCUUCUCAUUGUUUUAAGAGAGCUCUCAUUUCUAAGAACCUACUUUAAUGUAUUAUUUAAGCCUGCCGGAUUUUCUAAGGUCCUUUUAAUGGUCCUUUGGCAUGGAGGCUUUACUCUUAAUCAAUCUCCAUACCAUUUGCCAGCACUUUAUCCUAUGGUGUUUGCUUUGCAUGUUUUCCCAUCCUUACGCAGCCCUUAACCUUUGAAGUUGACUUGCAGUAUGUACUUCAGCAUUUUGACUUGUAGGCAGUUACUGAUAAAAUUAACUGAAUUAUUUGACUUCUUACUCUUUAAUAGGCAGCCAUCACUUUUUUUACUGGCGUGGACUUUUCUCUAUCACCCACUAUCACUUGUAGCCUAAUGUUAAAGUGUCUCACUGAUUUAAGAGUGAAGGCUGGUGAGAGCCUGUACUCACUUACAGUUCAAAUGCCUUUAUAGGUUGGAUGGUAUCCAGAUAGUGAGGUGAAAUUUCCACCUGUCUCACUUGGAUACAUAAAAUUACCUCAUUUAUUUAGAAACUGUGAUCAGCCCUUGCUCGAAGAAGAACAUUUUUCACGCAACCUCCGUGCAAGUUUUUGUCUGCAUGGGGCAGCUGCUUUCCUCCAUGUGAGCUUCCCUGAUGCAAUACAUUUGCCAGUUAAUUAAAACAAAUAAAUCACUCACAUACGCUGCAGAAUGCCUAUGUGAAUGAGGCACGCUAAUAAAAACAAGUCACUUUCAAAGGCCUCUGCCUCCCAGCUACAGCAAGAGGAGAUUUACGGCUUCAAGAUAGGAACGCUGCCUUGAACCAGAGAUGCCUCUUUUGCACAGCAAGGGGCAGCUCAGACUGCUGAUCAUUUCUCCAUCCACAGCCACCCAGAGCGUACUGCUGCUGUGCAGGCACAUGCCACCACCUCUUCACAUGGACUGCUGUGGAACAAGGGACAGGACAGAGGCAGAUGGUGGAACCACGUGCCGGGGGAUGACUGAAAUUGAAAAUCUCAGGAUGUAUUUUUCAAAUGCUUUCCCACAGCAACCCUGCUGUCCGACUGCUACAGAGACUCAAGCUGGGAGAAGGCACAGGUAAGGUGUGUUCUAUGGAGUGGGUGAGGAAGAGUCCCUGCAUGGAAAGCUGGGCUUGGGAGCGGAGAGCAGGGCAGCAAUCAUGCAAGCCCCGCUGGCUGCAGUCUCCUUAGAGACUGCAAUCCAAACACAGAAAAAGACCGUCUUGGACUGCUGAGCUUUUCCUAAUCUCUAGGUUUGCUCCAGUGAUGUCCUCAAGACAGAACUCAUAAAUGUGAACCUCCUCUACCAGUUCUUUGCAAUUUUUUUUCUUGAUGUUUUUACAGGGUGAGCUCAUUAUGGAUAAUUAUGAUUCAGAUCACAGCAGAAAUAAAGAGCUACCAGUAAUCAAAGCUGGCCUACGUAUCACAAACAUAAAAGUGUAUUUGCCACGUCUAAUUUAACACUAAAAGGAAUUAUGUAAUCUUAAAUUUACAACACUUGAAAACGUAUCAAAGCAGAUCAGCUGGACUGAAGGCUAGAAUUACGACGUGCUGCACAAACACAGUUUGGUGCAGCUGAGAUGGCGAACACCACCUCACCUCAGGACUGAAACGUUCUCUUUGCUUUGCAGUCUGCUCUGCAGCCUGGUGGGAGAGCAUACCCACAUGGCAGUGUCAGCUCCAGGAGCGAUGGACAUCGAGAGGGCAGGCUCUGUGCAGUGAGACACACGCACUGGGUUCUGGCACGCAGCAUCCACACUGGCAGCUAGCGUCAUGGGUUUCCUUUUUCUUCUACAUUGGGGAUUUUAUAUAGCUUGUCUUUCAUAUGGAAAAACAAUCUGGUGUAAUAACUCUACACAGGCAUUUGACAUACUAGAUGUGAAGUCCAAUUAAUUUAUGACUCAUUCUCUAUCCCUCUCGGACAGCAUGUUCCCAAGAAAAUGCCAUCUGCAGCAUUUAUCCUGUCUAUACAGAGAAGACCAGUCGUGCUGGGGCUUUGGUCUGCUACAUCACACAAAACCCAAGAGAUUUUCAUAAUAACGAAACGGCAAAAAGACACAGAAGAUCUACUGAAAUCGUCUUCCUGUUCUUAUGAACACAUAAAAAUAGGUUACUUAUUUAGCAAUUUAGGUAAACAGACCAUUAUCAAAAGUCACUGGGGAGUAAGUCUUUAUGAUUUCAUUUCUUGAUCGCUUCCUGUCUAACUAAACAAACAUGAACUCAAGUGACACAGAUUCCACUGCUUUUGUGUGUGGAAUACUUGAACCAUUUCUGUCAUAAUUCUAUGAAUAAUUUAAUCAUCUUUUUCCUGUCAGGGACAACAUAUAUUAAGAGAAAACUGGUGGGAAGCACAGCAUCUCUCAAAGGUUGUCAAUUCAGCAACGAUCAAUUUUGCAGAGAGGAAAGAUUAGCGUACAUCACUUUGAAAAGAGAACAGUAACAUCUUACAAUAUGACUAAAAUCUGUAGUCAAAAUUCCUCGGCAAGGUUUCAGUCCCAACCUCUAGAGUAGAACUCAAUAUAAGCAUGAGGGGUGAAGAACAUCUGUGAUACCGGCCAACAAUCCUAUGAGAGAUUCUCAGCCUGAGGUCAAGCACAGCAGCUUAGAGAGGAAGCUACAGGAACAAAGAUCUGGCUUCUAAGCUCCAAGAUCUGGCUUCUAAGCAUCAAGAGUUAACCAACAACACCUGGAGACAGAGCAUUUGCUGAGCAGUAACCUUCAGAAAAGUCAGCUGUUGACCAGUGUAUGGUUUUAGACCUUCAUCUGAUGAGUGACAAGGAAUUCUGCCGCUUACUCUGAAAGACGGAAAUGGCAUCUUUUGUUCACUUGAACCCAAGGCAGAGGAUGUUGAAGACUGUAUUUAUUUAACCCCAAGACAUGGGAACUUAUAGCACAUCAUCACUUCCCAAAGAGAUUUUCUUUUUAUCCUCCUUCUCAGCCUGGGUGGCUUCUGUUUGCUUUACAGACUUCUCAGAGUUUGCUACCAGCCUUGGACAUCUGCUGCAUGCAAAUACUCAUGCUGCUUGAUAGCAAAAUCCCUCCAGUUUUGAUCAAAAAGCCUUACCAUUAGAUUUGCUGUUCAUCAUUUGAAUUGAAACGUGCAUUAUUUUAGAGCAUGAAAAGACUUAUGACAUUGGCACAUCACAUUGGCAGGAUGAGAAUUGUGACAAAGGAAGGCUGAGGAAGUGGCUGCGAUCAGAAGAUGUGCAACACAACAGAGCACAUGGACUUUGCAAAACUCUCCAUCCCACUCAGCACUCUUUGGGUGCUGUGUUUCAUCACAAAAAGCAACUCCUAAGAGAAGUCUAUCCAGGAACACAUAAAUUAUAGAGGGCAAGCACAAGUAUCUCAAAGGCAGACUGAAAACAAAACCCAUUGUGCGUGACGUUAGACUAAGGACCUAUCCAGAACACUUGUAGAAAAUUCAAAACUCUGUCACAGCUGUCAAUUCUCAAGAAAACAAGGAACUUCAGACUUAGCUGCUGACUGGACGUGCACUUGUUUCUUGCUAUGCAACUGAAAUCCCUGCUGUUCGGCAUCCUUACUGUCUACAUUCUCCUUGCAGCAGCUCUCUCUGGGAUCAGUGGCAGCUCAGAACUCAGUAACCUUUUCCAGUGACUUAUUCCACAUACUGGCAGAUGAACUGACCUGCAUGAAUCAGCUUCCCUGUAAACAGCCUCUGGUCCUGACUUACACAUUUACAUACUAUGAGCAAAGGAAAGGGGAGAGAUUAAUGCACAAAGAAAUUAGUUUGGUAUACAGGAUGCCUGGGGGUUCCAAGAGGAUGUACAGCCCUUCAUCUCCGUAUCAGCAAGAAUGUCAAAUCAUGUCUAUCUGAAGACUGUACACAAGUCCUUAUGAAAUAAACAGGAAAUCUGAAGCUUAGUACCCAGCUGGUUGGUUUCCACAUGGGCGAGGGCCUGGUAAUGGCACUAACACCACUGCAUCUGUAACUGGCAUAAAGGCCAAGGACUCUAUAACUGUGCUUCUUCCAAGACAUGGAGCACUGGCACUAUCCUAAGAAGAAAUGCAGUAAAGAGAGCAUCUUCUUUGGCUAAACUUUGCAUGCUAUCUCCUACAACAGACGGCUGUACAUAUGUUCUCACUUUUGUACACCACACAGAGAGGACUACUGGUGGUGUGUGCUGCACUGCAGAGCUGCAGACAUCCCACAGAGACUAAAGGUCCCUGCUUGGGGCACCUGCACAGAAGCCCUCAGUGGAGACUCUGCCAGCUGUCCUCAUGCAUGGGACAAUCCGGGCUGAACAAGAGACAGACCACAUAAGAGAGGCAUAAAAGAUUCUGAAACGCCUCCUAAAACUGCACAGGAAAGAGUACAUCCAAGCAGCAAUUCACCUGCUGCUCCUUCGUUUUCCUGGUGCAGAUGGAACAGCGUGGGAAGGACUGCUGCUCCCACAGCAGAUAGUGAGACAUUGAAGUCAUUUCCACUCACGCCUGUGCAUCCAAGUACGCGCUGGAGCUGUGGCACAACUCUUCUGGAGAAAACACACACAACAGGCAGUCAGCUGUAAGCUCCAACUGCUGGCAGGAGCCGACCUUCGAGAGGAGCAGACUGUCUGGGACCUGGAUGCAGCCCAUCUUCACUACAAAGGACUGUUAUGAGUUAUUGUUUAACCUGGAGUUAAAGAAAUGCAUCCAUCUCCUUGUCAUCUUCAAUUUGCAGGAAAGUCCCUCUGAUACUUGGUCCUAACUUGCAUCAGUGAUGCAAAGUGUCAUAAAUAUUUCGACAAGUUUGGCUACCUGCAGCAUUCUCAGCAGCCUAGAAAGCUUCAAACAGUCCUGAAGUUUUUUUCAAAGUAAUACUUAAUUAUUUGUAUGCAACACAAAUGAAUGCAAUAUUAGUGAUUAGGAAGAAUUUAAACAUUUAGGAACACAAUGUGAAUGCAUUAUUAACAUGUGUAAAACAUUUUGUCCUUUCCUAUCUUGUUCAGAAGUAUGCUGAAUUGCUACCCUGAGGGGAAUGUGACGGCAUUAUUCAUCCCUAAUUUUAAAUACUAGACAAAAAUAUCUAAAAUUAAAAUACUGUUUGUGAUAUUAAUACAUGGCAUAAAACUGAAAAUGAAUAAAAGCAAAUCCUACAAGUCAGCAUCUGGCUCACGAGCAUGACCGUCAACCAGAGGCAAAAUAAAUCACAACUAUUACCCAACAACAGAUGGCUCUGGCUUGGGCCAAGAUUUGCACUUAGAUGGGAUGACAAUUUAAAUAGACGAUGCAGACCUGAAAGUGCUGGCAUAAUGACUGGAAAAAAUAUCGGCCUGGAAAGACAAUAUUUCAAAUGAGUCCCAAGCUUCAGCACUCUCAUUUUGCUUUUGAUCAUCACUACAGUUUGGUGUUAUUGAAGUCAGCUGAGAUGGACAGAUAGAUAAAUAUAGACAUGGAUACUAAAAAUCCAGCCACAAAUGUAUUACCUUUUUUAUUAAGUUGGGAUAUAGAAACACAUUUGUUCUUGGGGAUAAAGUCUGAAGUUAUUAGUUAAACAUCUGAUAACGAUCACAUUUAUCAAUCCUAGCCACCACAAAACAUUCAGAGCACUAGAUAAUUAGGAUGAAUCAACUGCAGUUAAUUAUAAAAGUUAAAUUAAAGCUUUUAGAAAUUAGGUACUGCUAUAGAAUGAACGUUCUCACUGAGCGUUUGUUCUUCCCUAGCUACUUCAGUCUCUGCUGAUCUGCUCCUGGACACAGCAGCACAUGGAACCACAACAGAGAUUUUAAGGCUUCUUCCAUAAGAUCAAUGUCAAGACUCUCACAGAGAUUAAGGGUUGGAGACUCACGUAUCUGUAACCCCCACAAUCAGAUGGCAAUGGAAACCCGAUUCCACUGUGCUAGAAUAUUCCAAGGCUGGAUGUUCCAACAGUUCCAGCCUGAGUCAUAUGACAUGUGGCUUGUUUCUUAAAGCACCUACCACUAGAUGCAUGACAACCUGCAGGCAAUCUUAGCCCUCAAUAAAAAGAGACCUUUUCUAACUCUCCUAGAACAGAGUAAACAUCCCUGCAUAUCA